RNAcentral lists this transfer RNA (88 nucleotides) under Armatimonadota bacterium. Its description in RNAcentral is "Armatimonadetes bacterium (hot springs metagenome) tRNA-Ser". It matches the Rfam family "tRNA". From Rfam's summary of the family: Transfer RNA (tRNA) molecules are approximately 80 nucleotides in length. Their secondary structure includes four short double-helical elements and three loops (D, anti-codon, and T loops). Further hydrogen bonds mediate the characteristic L-shaped molecular structure. tRNAs have two regions of fundamental functional importance: the anti-codon, which is responsible for specific mRNA codon recognition, and the 3' end, to which the tRNAs corresponding amino acid is attached (by aminoacyl-tRNA synthetases). tRNAs cope with the degeneracy of the genetic code in two manners: having more than one tRNA (with a specific anti-codon) for a particular amino acid; and 'wobble' base-pairing, i.e. permitting non-standard base-pairing at the 3rd anti-codon position. Lineage: Bacteria; Bacillati; Armatimonadota. The record is from RNAcentral.
GGAGGGGUGGUCGAGCGGUUUAAGGCAACGGUCUUGAAAACCGUCGUGGUGAAAGCCACCGUGGGUUCGAAUCCCACCCCCUCCGCCA